ACGAGCGAGGUCCUAAAUACUAGUAUUGCAAGCCAGCCAGAUUCGCAGCAUAAUAUAUUUAACUGCUACUGCUGGGGGACAGCUUGAGACCGAGUUUUAUCGUUUCCUUCUGUAUCACAUGCACUGCACGGUUACUGGUUUUGAUCGGGUGUUUUAUCGUCCUCCUUACUGCCCAGUUUCCAGGGCCGCCACCACAACUCAACAAGCCGCCCAAUUGAUAGAUCAAGGAGAAUCUCAAGUCUCAUGGUAACACCAGGAACUAACUGGUGGUCCUUUUCCAACAGUUCCAAGCCUGAACGGGGCUGAAAGAGGCUGAAGGC
This 320-nucleotide small RNA is filed under the name Histoplasma capsulatum. RNAcentral describes it as "hypothetical RNA". The record is from RNAcentral. RNAcentral also lists the same sequence under 1 other name. Lineage: Eukaryota; Fungi; Ascomycota; Eurotiomycetes; Onygenales; Ajellomycetaceae.